RNAcentral lists this ribosomal RNA (383 nucleotides) under uncultured eukaryote. Its description in RNAcentral is "partial 18S ribosomal RNA". It matches the Rfam family "Eukaryotic small subunit ribosomal RNA", at positions 592 to 976 of the family's 1831-position model. The record is from RNAcentral.
CAAUAGCGUAUAUUAAAGUUGUUGCGGUUAAAAAGCUCGUAGUUGGAUCUCGGCAGGCAGGGGGUGGUUCGCUCUUAGCGCUACUGCCCCAUUUGCCUGUGUGAUUGGCGGAGGUUUCGGGGUGCUCUUCGUUGAGUGACACGGGGCGCCGUCAGGUUUACUUUGAAAAAAUUAGAGUGCUCAAAGCAGGCUUUUCACGCUUGAAUAUUCGUGCAUGGAAUAAUGGAAUAGGAACUCGUUUCUAUUUUGUUGGUUUUCGGAAAUCGAGUUAAUGAUUAAUAGGGACAAUUGGGGGCAUUAGUAUUCAGACGACAGAGGUGAAAUUCUUGGACCGUCUGAAGACUAACUACUGCGAAAGCAUUUGCCAAGAGUGUUUUCAUUAA